UACGGAGGGUGCAAGCGUUGUCCGGAAUCACUGGGCGUAAAGGGCGCGUAGGCGGCUCAUGAAGGCUGUGGUGAAAGUCCGGGGCUCAACCUCGGAUCGGCCGUGGCGACUCGUGGGCUGGAGCACUGUAGAGGCGGGUGGAAUUCCGGGUGUAGCGGUGGAAUGCGUAGAGAUCCGGAAGAACACCAGUGGCGAAGGCGAGUCCCUGGACAAUACCUGACACUGAGGCACGAAAGCUAGGGGAGCAAACAGG
This 253-nucleotide ribosomal RNA is filed under the name uncultured bacterium. RNAcentral's name for it is "partial 16S ribosomal RNA". It matches the Rfam family "Bacterial small subunit ribosomal RNA", at positions 524 to 776 of the family's 1533-position model. The record is from RNAcentral.